AUCCAGCUGACGAGUCCUGAAAAGGACGAGACGCGUGUCUUGGAU
This is a non-coding RNA of Schistosoma haematobium, 45 nucleotides long. Lineage: Eukaryota; Metazoa; Platyhelminthes; Trematoda; Strigeidida; Schistosomatidae. The record is from Rfam.